This 402-nucleotide ribosomal RNA is filed under the name Bacteroidota bacterium. RNAcentral describes it as "Bacteroidetes bacterium partial 16S ribosomal RNA". It matches the Rfam family "Bacterial small subunit ribosomal RNA", at positions 355 to 776 of the family's 1533-position model. The record is from RNAcentral. Lineage: Bacteria; Pseudomonadati; Bacteroidota.
UGGGGAAUUUUGCACAAUGGGGGAAACCCUGAUGCAGCGACGCCGCGUGAUUUAGAAGGCCUUCGGGUUGUAAAAAUCUUUUGUAUAGGAAGAAAAUGACAGUACUAUACGAAUAAGGACCGGCUAAUUACGUGCCAGCAGCCGCGGUAAUACGUAAGGUCCGAGCGUUGUCCGGAAUCAUUGGGCGUAAAGGGUACGUAGGCGGGUAAGCAAGUUAGAAGUGAAAUCCUGUAGCUCAACUACAGUAAGCUUUUAAAACUGCUCAUCUUGAGAUAUGGAAGGGAAAGUGGAAAUCCUAGUGUAGCGGUGAAAUGCGCUGAUAUUAGGAGGAAUACCGGUGGCGAAGGCGACUUUCUGGCCAUAAUCUGACGCUGAGGUACGAAAGCGUGGGUAGCAAACAGG